CCAACAUGGAUGCCCCCGGAGGUCACUCUCCCUGGAGGUUCUGUCCAGGUGGCCCAGGGGAGCACAGGUACUGUCCCUUUCCACAACGUUGGCGUGAAAGCUGGACCUUGAGCCUGCACCUGCAUAUUCCUACAGCUUCUCAGAGUCCUGUGGACAAUGGCUGAGGAGACAAACCAUGCAGGAAACAUCU
Molecule: small nucleolar RNA, 190 nt
Organism: Myotis lucifugus (little brown bat)
Lineage: Eukaryota; Metazoa; Chordata; Mammalia; Chiroptera; Vespertilionidae
Gene: SNORA73
Rfam family: Small nucleolar RNA SNORA73 family
About the family: U17 (SNORA73A and SNORA73B) also known as E1 belongs to the H/ACA class of small nucleolar RNAs (snoRNAs). Vertebrate U17 is intron-encoded and ranges in length from 200-230 nucleotides, longer than most snoRNAs.
Source: Ensembl